This 460-nucleotide ribosomal RNA is filed under the name uncultured bacterium. RNAcentral's name for it is "partial 16S ribosomal RNA". It matches the Rfam family "Bacterial small subunit ribosomal RNA", at positions 338 to 795 of the family's 1533-position model. The record is from RNAcentral.
CCUACGGGUGGCAGCAGUGAGGAAUAUUGGUCAAUGGACGAGAGUCUGAACCAGCCAAGUAGCGUGAAGGAUGACUGCCCUAUGGGUUGUAAACUUCUUUUAUAUGGGAAUAAAAUGUUCCACGUGUGGGAUUUUGUAUGUACCAUAUGAAUAAGGAUCGGCUAACUCCGUGCCAGCAGCCGCGGUAAUACGGAGGAUCCGAGCGUUAUCCGGAUUUAUUGGGUUUAAAUGGAGCGUAGGUGGAUUGUUAAGUCAGUUGUGAAAGUUUGCGGCUCAACCGUAAAAUUGCAGUUGAAACUGGCAGUCGUGAGUACAGUAGAGGUGGGCGGAAGUCGUGGUGUAGCGGUGAAAUGCUUAGAUAUCACGAAGAACUCCGAUUGCGAAGGCAGCUCACUGGACUGCAACUGACACUGAGGCUCGAAAGUGUGGGUAUCAAACAGGAUUAGAUACCCCAGUAGUC